UCCAUGCACGUGUCUGUCACGCUCUCCACCGUCACCCACGUCUCUAUUACUCUCUUCUCUGCCAUCGCAGCCGUCCGAUCUGCAAAGGCAAGGGAACUCAGAUCACCGGUUACCUGUGUUCUGGACUCAAACAACACGGAAGGAUCCGUAUGCUCUUGCACCUGAUCUUUUCUAUCGGUACGAUCAACACCACUGCUAGAUC
Molecule: unclassified non-coding RNA, 202 nt
Filed under: Hevea brasiliensis (rubber tree)
Lineage: Eukaryota; Viridiplantae; Streptophyta; Magnoliopsida; Malpighiales; Euphorbiaceae
Source: RNAcentral